UGUGAUGGGUAGGGGAGCGUCGUGUGCCGGGUGAAGCUGCCGCGUAAGCGAGUGGUGGACGGUUCACGAGUGAGAAUGCAGGCAUGAGUAGCGAUUCACACGUGAGAAACGUGUGCGCCGAUUGACUAAGGGUUCCUGGGUCAAGCUGAUCUGCCCAGGGUAAGUCGGGACCUAAGGCGAGGCCGACAGGCGUAGUCGAUGGAUAACCGGUUGAUAUUCCGGUACCCGCUGUGAAGCGUCAAACAUUGAAUCCAGUGAUGCUAAGCCCGUGAAGCCGCCCUGAUCUCUUCGGAGUUGAGGGGAGUGGUGGAGCCGGUGACCCAGGCUGGUAGUAGGUGAGUGAUGGGGUGACGCAGGAAGGUAGUCCAUCCCGGGCGGUGGUUGUCCCGGGGUAAGGGUGUAGGACGUCGGGUAGGUAAAUCCGCCUGGCACAUAGUCUGAGACCUGAUGCCGAGCCGAUUGUGGUGAAGUGGAUGAUCCUAUGCUGUCGAGAAAAGCCUCUAGCGAGUUUCAUGGCGGCCCGUACCCUAAACCGACUCAGGUGGUCUGGUAGAGAAUACCGAGGCGUUCGGGUGAACUAUGGUUAAGGAACUCGGCAAAAUGCCCCCGUAACUUCGGGAGAAGGGGGGCCACGCUUGGUGAUCCGAUUUACUCGGUGAGCUGGGGGUGGCCGCAGAGACCAGCGAGAAGCGACUGUUUACUAAAAACACAGGUCCGUGCGAAGCCGUAAGGCGAUGUAUACGGACUGACGCCUGCCCGGUGCUGGAACGUUAAGGGGACCGGUUAGCUGACUUUCGGGUUGGCGAAGCUGAGAACUUAAGCGCCAGUAAACGGCGGUGGUAACUAUAACCAUCCUAAGGUAGCGAAAUUCCUUGUCGGGUAAGUUCCGACCUGCACGAAUGGCGUAACGACUUCUCGACUGUCUCAACCAUAGGCCCGGUGAAAUUGCAUUACGAGUAAAGAUGCUCGUUUCGCGCAGCAGGACGGAAAGACCCCGGGACCUUUACUACAGUUUGAUAUUGGUGUUCGGUUCGGCUUGUGUAGGAUAGGUGGGAGACUGUGAAGCGGCCACGCCAGUGGUUGUGGAGUCGUUGUUGAAAUACCACUCUGGUCGUGCUGGAUGUCUAACCCGGGUCCGUGAUCCGGAUCGGGGACAGUGUCUGAUGGGUAGUUUAACUGGGGCGGUUGCCUCCUAAAGAGUAACGGAGGCGCCCAAAGGUUCCCUCAGCCUGGUUGGUAAUCAGGUGGUGAGUGUAAGUGCACAAGGGAGCUUGACUGUGAGACCGACGGGUCGAGCAGGGACGAAAGUCGGGACUAGUGAUCCGGCGGUGGCUUGUGGAAGCGCCGUCGCUCAACGGAUAAAAGGUACCCCGGGGAUAACAGGCUGAUCUUCCCCAAGAGUCCAUAUCGACGGGAUGGUUUGGCACCUCGAUGUCGGCUCGUCGCAUCCUGGGGCUGGAGUCGGUCCCAAGGGUUGGGCUGUUCGCCCAUUAAAGCGGUACGCGAGCUGGGUUUAGAACGUCGUGAGACAGUUCGGUCCCUAUCCGCUGUGCGCGUAGGAAUAUUGAGAAGGGCUGUCCCUAGUACGAGAGGACCGGGACGGACGAACCUCUGGUGUGCCAGUUGUUCUGCCAAGGGCAUGGCUGGUUGGCUACGUUCGGGAGGGAUAACCGCUGAAAGCAUCUAAGCGGGAAGCCUGCUUCGAGAUGAGUAUUCCCACCUCCUUGAGAGGGUAAGGCUCCCAGUAGACGACUGGGUUGAUAGGCCGGAUAUGGAAGCCCUGUAAGGGGUGGAGUUGACCGGUACUAAUAGGCCGAGGGCUUGUCCUC
Molecule: ribosomal RNA, 1829 nt
Rfam family: Bacterial large subunit ribosomal RNA